Molecule: long non-coding RNA, 561 nt
Filed under: Numida meleagris (helmeted guineafowl)
Lineage: Eukaryota; Metazoa; Chordata; Aves; Galliformes; Numididae
Description: lncRNA (ENSNMEG00000018625.1)
Source: RNAcentral
UUCCUUGUUUCAAAGUUACUCUUUAAUAAGGUGCUCAAGAAGUUCUUUGUAACUCAGAAACGUCAAGCAGAUUUUUCUUGCCUCCUUGGAGGUGCUCUGUGAGGUCAUAGUGGACCCCAUGAAGACACUCAGGGACCCCAUAUUAUGUCAUGCCAGGAGGCACCACUUUGCAGUAGUGCCUCAAGCCCGCAAGGAGGGUGCUUGCUGGCUGCUGGCGACGAGUAGCAUGGAGCAACUGAGGGGGGCAGCCGCUCGCCGCUGUUGCAUUUUGUUCUUACUUCUCCACCUCCUGGUGGCUCUGUGUCAUGGCCAACCCCAGGAUGUCCCAUGGGAAGCACUGAGUCCCGAUGAUCGUGUUGGUGAUGUGUAUCCAGCAUAUCCCAUGGAAGGUGUUUUGGAACGUGGCAAGGAUCCCAGGGAUGUGGCCUCAGGUGCUGGCUCUGCAGCUUAUCAGUGGGCUCCUGAUUUUCAGCGUUGGAGGAACCGCAUGGGUAAGCGCUGUGCCUAGAUUUCGUUUGAGAGAUGCCAUGUAGCAUCCAGAAGGCCAGCGUGACCCCUCUG